UUAGAUCAGAAACAAAUUACAAGAAAAUAAUGUCAUCAAACAAUUAGUAAGAAUUUUUUUUAAAAAGACGUAAACAAAGCUUGGCUCCAAUGUAUUCGAAACUCAUUCACCUCCAGUUAUAGGUUAGACAGUGAGCACUGCUGUCUUCAGAGAAAUGACUAGAAGGUCCAUUGAUAGCCAAGAAAGAUGUGCAAUAUCAAGCAGUAGGGACUGCCUGCCAAGGGAAGUGGACCCAGAUAUUUGAAAAAUGUUUCUGAACAAACUGAAAGGGUUUUCUGCUUUACCUUCUACUCCUAGGAAGCUCGGUCCCCAGUUCCACUCACUCAUUCAGGAAAGUCUAGUGUGAAGCGUGUCAUGAUUCAGAUGAUUCACACGGGUGGCAACUGAGAUCACCUUGAAAUCAGUGCUUGAUGGGAGAGCCAGGUGCAGUCCAGGCUCUGACAUACUUGGCUGGUGACUUCAUAUCACUCACUCAGCCUCUCUGACCUCCAUUGUAACUGAUUUCUGAUGGCCUUUCCACAACUAAAGUCAAUGAUUCCAUAAAGUAAUUGGGCCAUGCCAGAUUGCAGCUACUUUUUAUAUCUGCUGAUUUUUUUCUUGGAGGUAUGUGUUCAUGAGAAUCUCUGCUGUACCCUUUGGAGCCUGGUGCCGGCUGUCUGACUCUUACUGGUUGGAAGAAGCUCCUGUGUGCCUAAAGCAUUUUCUGAAUUAAGUUCUUUUCAGUCAUUUCCCCUCAGGUGUUAACCAAUGAGACUAUUCUUUGACAAAAGUCCGCUUCCCCCCACCUCACUGCCCUCCUUAUUUUAUGUCAUGAAAUAAAAUUAAGUAUCAGGAGAGAGGCCAUCAAACAACUGGGACUGAU
Molecule: long non-coding RNA, 862 nt
Organism: Sapajus apella (tufted capuchin)
Lineage: Eukaryota; Metazoa; Chordata; Mammalia; Primates; Cebidae
Exons: 2
Source: RefSeq, a predicted model, not a curated record